GAGCAGGGUAAGGAAGGAAUGUGCUA
RNAcentral lists this non-coding RNA (26 nucleotides) under Homo sapiens (human). The record is from RNAcentral. Lineage: Eukaryota; Metazoa; Chordata; Mammalia; Primates; Hominidae.